This 929-nucleotide ribosomal RNA is filed under the name uncultured bacterium. Its description in RNAcentral is "bacterial SSU rRNA". It matches the Rfam family "Bacterial small subunit ribosomal RNA", at positions 33 to 954 of the family's 1533-position model. The record is from RNAcentral.
ACGCUAGCGAUAGGCUUAACACAUGCAAGUCGAGGGGCUGCAUGGUCUUAGCUUGCUAAGACUGAUGGCGACCGGCGCACGGGUGCGUAACGCGUAUGCAACUUGCCUCACAGAGGGGGAUAACCCGUCGAAAGACGGACUAAUACCGCGUACACUCUAUAUUGGGCAUCCAAUGUAGAGGAAAUGAAAUUCGCUGUGAGAUAGGCAUGCGUCCCAUUAGCUAGUUGGUGAGGUAACGGCUCACCAAGGCGACGAUGGGUAGGGGAACUGAGAGGUUGAACCCCCACACUGGUACUGAGACACGGACCAGACUCCUACGGGAGGCAGCAGUGAGGAAUAUUGGUCAAUGGGCGAGAGCCUGAACCAGCCAAGUCGCGUGAAGGAUGACUGUCUUAUGGAUUGUAAACUUCUUUUAUACGGGAAUAACAAGAGCCACGUGUGGCUCCCUGCAUGUACCGUAUGAAUAAGCAUCGGCUAACUCCGUGCCAGCAGCCGCGGUAAUACGGAGGAUGCGAGCGUUAUCCGGAUUUAUUGGGUUUAAAGGGUGCGUAGGCGGCCUGUUAAGUCAGCGGUGAAAUCUAGGAGCUUAACUCUUAAAUUGCCAUUGAUACUGGCGGGCUUGAGUGUAGAUGAGGUAGGCGGAAUGCGUGGUGUAGCGGUGGAAUGCAUAGAUAUCACGCAGAACUCCGAUUGCGAAGGCAGCUUACUAAGGUACAACUGACGCUGAAGCACGAAAGCGUGGGUAUCAAACAGGAUUAGAUACCCUGGUAGUCCACGCAGUAAACGAUGAUAACUGGGCGUAUGCGAUAUACAGUAUGCUCCUAAGCGAAAGCGUUAAGUUAUCCACCUGGGGAGUACGCCGGCAACGGUGAAACUCAAAGGAAUUGACGGGGGCCCGCACAAGCGGAGGAACAUGUGGUUUAAUUCGA